GGCGGACGCCAAACUGCCCGACGCACAGUCAGGCUACGAGAAGGCGUAUACGAACGUACUGGCCGGCCAUAGCGGGGCCAAUCUGAUUUAUGAAGCGG
Molecule: non-coding RNA, 98 nt
Filed under: marine eukaryotic metagenome
Description: Pyrrolysine insertion sequence mttB
Rfam family: Pyrrolysine insertion sequence mttB
Source: RNAcentral